This 25-nucleotide non-coding RNA is filed under the name Cricetulus griseus (Chinese hamster). Lineage: Eukaryota; Metazoa; Chordata; Mammalia; Rodentia; Cricetidae. The record is from RNAcentral.
GUUCUUCUGGAUGCAGAAUAAGUGG